GCUCAGAAACUUAAAGGAAUUGACGGGACCCGCACAAGCAGCGGAGCAUGUGGUUUAAUUCGAAGCAACGCGAAGAACCUUACCAGAUCUUGACAUCCAAUUGACCAUCUUUUAAUCGAGAUUUUGCCUUCGGGUACAAUUGAGACAGGUGGUGCAUGGUUGUCGUCAGCUCGUGUCGUGAGAUGUUGGGUUAAGUCCCGCAACGAGCGCAACCCUUGCCUUUAGUUGCCAGCAGUUCGGCUGGGCACUCUAAAGGGACUGCCGGUGUUAAACCGGAGGAAGGUGGGGAUGACGUCAAGUCCUCAUGGCCUUUAUGACCAGGGCUACACACGUACUACAAUGGCCGAUACAAAGGGCAGCGACACUGCGAGGUGAAGCCAAUCCCGUAAAAUCGGUCUCAGUCCGGAUUGGAGUCUGCAACUCGACUCCAUGAAGUUGGAAUCGCUAGUAAUCGUGGAUCAGCAUGCCACGGUGAAUACGUUCCCGGGCCUU
Molecule: ribosomal RNA, 492 nt
Filed under: uncultured Desulfobulbus sp.
Lineage: Bacteria; Pseudomonadati; Thermodesulfobacteriota; Desulfobulbia; Desulfobulbales; Desulfobulbaceae
Description: bacterial SSU rRNA
Rfam family: Bacterial small subunit ribosomal RNA
Source: RNAcentral